UACAGAGGGUGCGAGCGUUAAUCGGAAUUACUGGGCGUAAAGCGCGCGUAGGCGGCUUGGUCAGUCGGAUGUGAAAGCCCCGGGCUCAACCUGGGAAUGGCAUUCGAUACUGCCAGGCUAGAGUAUGGGAGAGGGAAGUGGAAUUUCCGGUGUAGCGGUGAAAUGCGUAGAUAUCGGAAAGAACACCAGUGGCGAAGGCGACUUCCUGGCCCAAUACUGACGCUGAGGUGCGAAAGCGUGGGGAGCGAACAGGAUUAGAUACCCUAGUAGUCC
This 273-nucleotide ribosomal RNA is filed under the name uncultured bacterium. RNAcentral describes it as "partial 16S ribosomal RNA". It matches the Rfam family "Bacterial small subunit ribosomal RNA", at positions 524 to 796 of the family's 1533-position model. The record is from RNAcentral.